GACGAACGCUGGCGGCGUGCUUAACACAUGCCAGUCGAGCGGAAAGGCCCUUCGGGGUACUCGAGCGGCGAACGGGUGAGUAACACGUGAGUAACCUGCCCUAGGCUUUGGGAUAACCCCGGGAAACCGGGGCUAAUACCGGAUAUGACCUGGUGCCGCAUGGUGUUGGGUGGAAAGUUUUUUCGGCCUGGGAUGGGCUCGCGGCCUAUCAGCUUGUUGGUGGGGUGAUGGCCUACCAAGGCGAUGACGGGUAGCCGGCCUGAGAGGGCGACCGGCCACACUGGGACUGAGACACGGCCCAGACUCCUACGGGAGGCAGCAGUGGGGAAUAUUGCACAAUGGGCGGAAGCCUGAUGCAGCGACGCCGUGUGAGGGAUGAAGGCCUUCGGGUUGUAAACCUCUUUCAGCAGGGACGAAGCGUGAGUGACGGUACCUGCAGAAGAAGCGCCGGCCAACUACGUG
Molecule: ribosomal RNA, 462 nt
Filed under: uncultured bacterium
Lineage: Bacteria
Description: partial 16S ribosomal RNA
Rfam family: Bacterial small subunit ribosomal RNA
Source: RNAcentral